RNAcentral lists this long non-coding RNA (562 nucleotides) under Meriones unguiculatus (Mongolian gerbil). Its description in RNAcentral is "lncRNA (ENSMUGG00000009221.1)". Lineage: Eukaryota; Metazoa; Chordata; Mammalia; Rodentia; Muridae. The record is from RNAcentral.
AGUAGCCAACCUGCACGCUCUAUCUGUGGAGCCACCAACUGGCCCUGACCCCUGAACAGGUCACCUGCUUGGGCCCCAUGAUGGAAGGAAGCUCUGCUCUUUAGAACACACAGCGGACGCCGUGCUGGGGAAGUGUGACUCAGAGGCAAGGAGAGCAGGGAGGAGAGACUCCCAGGAGGAGAUGAGAGAGGCUGCACUUCAGGAUCCAGCUCAAACCAGCCCCUGCCAGGGCGAGGUGUUCCACACUUUCCAAAGCUCAUCACAUCCAUUAUCUCUGUGACCCAGAGACAGGCCUGCCAAGCGGGCUUGUGUGAGGUCACUGUGCCCUGUGCGUGCUGCCCUCCAAAUCCUCUUGCAUCCAUUCCUUCCCCUCCAUCGCACCUCAGCCCUUAUCAUCUCUCAUGGGUGAGGCAAUAGGCUGCUGCUCCGCUCCCGCUCCCAGCUCGUGCCCUCUAGCCGCCUGAGUGAUCAUUCUGCACUACAAAUUUGUUCAUUCUGCAGUUGGCUGAACAGCCUCCAUCAGCCGCCGGAGGGAGCAGAAUAAAAUCCUGACUUCUUUGCA